GUCCACGCCGUAAACGAUGAGUGCUAGAUGCUGCGGGUAUUGACCCCCGCGGUGUCGAAGCUAACGCGUUAAGCACUCCGCCUGGGGAGUACGGCCGCAAGGCUAAAACUCAAAGGAAUUGACGGGGGCCCGCACAAGCGGUGGAGCAUGUGGUUCAAUUCGACGCAACGCGCAGAACCUUACCUGGGUUAAAUCCACUCGAACUUAGCAGAAAUGCUUUGGUGCCUUUCGGGGAGCGAGUGAGAAGGUGCUGCAUGGCUGUCU
Molecule: ribosomal RNA, 264 nt
Filed under: uncultured bacterium
Lineage: Bacteria
Description: partial 16S ribosomal RNA
Rfam family: Bacterial small subunit ribosomal RNA
Source: RNAcentral